Columba livia (rock pigeon) is the source of this 2867-nucleotide long non-coding RNA. RefSeq lists it as uncharacterized. Lineage: Eukaryota; Metazoa; Chordata; Aves; Columbiformes; Columbidae. The transcript is spliced from 3 exons. The record is from RefSeq and is a predicted model, not a curated record.
CUCUGCUAAAGGAGAAAAUGGAAGACAAGCGUAUCACGAGAGCGUAAGCUCAGGAUUUCACAGGGUGAAACCUGUCCUUGUAGGAUUUUGGUUGGUUGGUUUGUUUCUGUUUUCUUUUUGUUUUGUUUUCCCCAAGCCAAGCUCCCGUAAUCCCAGUUUCCUAAUGAAACGGUCUAAAAACCCCCAUCUGUUACAUACCCUGGAAGCCAGGGGAACCAACAGAUAAGAGCCGCUACCCUCUGUAAGGACUUGAGCUCCAAAUAGUUUAUUUGUAUCACAAAGAGGCACAAGAAGGCAAGAAACAGGUCCAUGGGCUGCACGGCCGUUACAGCAACAGCACCACCGAGGAGUCGGUGUACGCGGAAAAACCACGGCGGCAAAAGAAGGCACCGGGUUGUGCCCCCGGCACGUCACCCGCAGCCCCAAAGUCCGAACAGCGGCCCACUUGGCACCAGAUGUUUGACCAGUUCAGGAAAGCGAAGCAAGGAACCCAAGGGAGAAGGAAACAUCUCCCGUCCUGUGCCGCUCUGCUCGGGUGACAACCAGGGACACGCUCUGCACGCUCCCGAACGGCGUGAGAAGGGAGGGACAACAUAUCGGCCCUUACCUGUCAGGAACGGCGGCAAGUCUGCUCAAAACUGGCGAGCUUCUUAUAAACGAUGUGGAAUAAAUGAGCAGAGGUGGAAAGAAAAACCCAACACCCUUGGAAUGUCACCGGUGUGUUUGGUUUUCCCUGGAGGAAUGCAGUUACUCACCUGGGCAGGGCUCUCCGGGAGCCUCUCCAGCCUCCUCCUCCUGCUCAUCUGCGGCGCACAGCUCCUCCUCUUGCUUGAUAUGGAUUAUGCUGUCUUCUGGUCAUAGGAAACAACGCUAUUAAUUCCAGACACAGAAUUAACGCCAAUUCUCGUCCCACCCCAGGCACGGCAGCUCUGUUCUAGAUCACUUCUAACAAAAACCUCGUUCUCGCUGACCGCAGUCUCUGAAACAGACCUAAAACAUUUGUCACAAAACCCUCAGCAGAUGUUUGAGCUUCAGAAACACGCAAGAGUUUCACGCAAGUGUAACGUCCACGUUGUCGCGGUGCCCAUUAGCAAAUGAAAAGGUGUUCUGCGUGGCCUGGGAGAGCACAGCGCCAUCCGAACUCCUGUUCCUGGGUUCUGCUUCUCCUCUGGCUCUGCUGGGGUUAUGCCGGUUCCUUUCCAGUCACUCUCCAUGAAACACACACCACUCCUAACCCUUCAGAAAAGCUCCAGCGAGGGUAAUGAAUGAAAACAUUAAAUACAUACGGAAAAACAGACGGACUAAUGCUCAGCACUUUACCUUUAUACCUCCAGCACAACCAAUGAGUCAGAGGAACACUUUGCGUGUGCAAAAGCAACUGCACUGUGCAGGUUUGUGCACGCGGAAUAGCAAACCCUCCUGACAGCCUUCGGUCCGGCAAACCGAGCGUCACCCCACGCCGACCGCCCCGCGACACGGCCCGACGGCGAGGGGACCGCGGGGGCGACGCGCGCAGCUCAGCACCCGGGAGAGGGAGAAAUGGGGUUCGAGAGGCAGUUUUGAGUAUGGAUUCCUGGCUCUUUGGCUAAUCUUCCCCCUGGAUGGACUUUUCAAAUACAGGUCUUUGCCUUUUUCGGUGUUAUCUCAGCCUGGGUGUCCGGCCUUGCCGUGGGGCUGCCGCCACCCUCCAGCCUACGCUACAGCAGGGCGGGAAGAGGUUCCGUGCUCAGGAGUGCUACCCAAGGAUGAGGAAAGCUCAGCGCUGGCUCAAGUAGGAUGUGAAGACUCCAUGAUGCAUCUCAGGGUGGGUGUAGACCUUGUGCUCCCCAAACCCUUCCUCCUUCCCCAUCACACCUUCCCCUGUAGCUCCUGCUCUUCUUCAUCACCCUAUCUGCGCACAUGGAGGGUUUAUCUUCUUCCUCUUGGCCCUGGAAGAGCAGCGCGUGUCUGUAUCACUCAACAUCUCUUCUUGGAUUCGGGGUUGAGUUUUUAAAAUGUAAGCAGGAUGAAUCUCAAAAUAGCUCUGAGAUCUGUUGCAAAUAUACAAAAUUGUCCCUGAAACACAGGGGCUAGAACGGGGAAACCGUGACUCAGUGUGCAAAACGCUGCUCCAUCUGCACCACCCAAGGCAGCAUCGAGAUGAAACACGGAGCACAUGGAGCGCUUCUGGUGCUCAGCAGUUAACACGUGAAGUCUCCCAGUCACAAAUGAGAGGGUGCUGUUGAGAUGGCGUAACGCUCCCCAGCUCACGCUCCUCAAACACCCUCAUUUCGCUACCCAAACACCAAUUCUUUUACGGCUGUGGUUACGGAGACAUCUCUCAGAUGUGAACGUGACACCUUCUUCGUUUGCUCUUUAAAUAAUGUUUUAAACUACUAGAUGAUCUUUCAAGGUCCCUUCCAAUCCCUAAAACCCUGUGAUUCUGUGAUCUAAUAGUAACAAAGUGGUAGGAGGUCAGCACUAGACAGAUACACAAUAUUGCAAUGUGGGGAGACGUGGCAACGCGGCAAGACUUAUUUCUCGUCAUUGUCCUUUCGUAAGGCGCAGAAACAGCCCAGGAAAGGCACCCGAAGUGGUUUGCACAGUAAUGUGUGACCGCUGCCGAAGCGAUCCUUUAUGCAGCAGCAUCUUUGCAUCUUCAUCCCAGAACAAAUCCUCCUCCUCCUCCGCGCAGCCGAGCUGAACCGACGUCUCCGGCAGCGCCGCGGCGCUGGACACGCUCUGCGGGCGGCGCAUCGAUGGGAUCUGCCCGCCGCACGAGGACUGUACACUGAGCUUAUUCACAGCCUAUGUUUAGAUAAUCUUACCAUUCAGGCCCUGCUCGGGCGGCAGAAAACAAUGCUCCCGCUCAGGUCCCACAGUGCCCA